RNAcentral lists this ribosomal RNA (497 nucleotides) under uncultured bacterium. RNAcentral describes it as "partial 16S ribosomal RNA". It matches the Rfam family "Bacterial small subunit ribosomal RNA", at positions 28 to 507 of the family's 1533-position model. The record is from RNAcentral.
GAUGAACGCUGGCGGCGUGCCUAAUACAUGCAAGUCGAGCGAACAGACGAGGAGCUUGCUCCUCUGACGUUAGCGGCGGACGGGUGAGUAACACGUGGAUAACCUACCUAUAAGACUGGGAUAACUUCGGGAAACCGGAGCUAAUACCGGAUCAUAUAUUGAACCGCAUGGUUCAAUAGUGAAAGACGGUUUUGCUGUCACUUAUAGAUGGUUCCGCGCCGCAUUAGCUAGUUGGUAAGGUAACGGCUUACCAAGGCAACGAUGCGUAGCCGACCUGAGAGGGUGAUCAGCCACACUGGAACUGAGACACGGUCCAGACUCCUACGGGAGGCAGCAGUGGGGAAUCUUCCGCAAUGGGCGAAAGCCUGACGGAGCAACGCCGCGUGAGUGAUGAAGGUCUUCGGAUCGUAAAACUCUGUUAUUAGGGAAGAACAAAUGUAUAAGUAACUAUGCACGUCUUGACGGUACCUAAUCAGAAAGCCACGGCUAACUACGUG